UGCAAGGCUAGCCGGGUAGCUUUACACAUGCCAAGUCGAACGGCAGCAUGAGAGAGCUUGCUCUCAUGAUGGCGAGUGGCGGACGGGUGAGUAAUGUAUCGGAACGUGCCCGGUAGUGGGGGAUAACUACGCGAAAGCGUAGCUAAUACCGCAUAUUCUCUACGGAGGAAAGAGGGGGAUCGUAAGACCUCUUGCUACCGGAGCGGCCGAUAUCAGAUUAGCUAGUUGGUGGGGUAACGGCCUACCAAGGCGGUGAUCUGUAGCUGGUUUGAGAGGACGACCAGCCACACUGGGACUGAGACACGGCCCAGACUCCUACGGGAGGCAGCAGUGGGGAAUUUUCGACAAUGGGGGGAACCCUGAUCGAGCCAUCUCGCGUGUGGGACGAAGGCCUUCGGGUUGUAAACCACUUUUCUCAACGAAGAAAAGUCUUAGGCUAAUACCUUAAGAUGCUGACGGUAGUUGAGGAAUAAGCACCGGCUAACUACGUGCCAGCAGCCGCGGUAAUACGUAGGGUGCGAGCGUUAAUCGGAAUUACUGGGCGUAAAGGGUGCGCAGGCGGCUUGGAAAGAACGGUGUGAAAUCCCGGGGCUCAACCUCGGAACUGCACUAUUAACUGCCAAGCUAGAGUACGUCAGAGGGGGGUGGAAUUCCGCGUGUACCAGUAAAAUGCUAGAU
RNAcentral lists this ribosomal RNA (678 nucleotides) under uncultured bacterium. RNAcentral describes it as "bacterial SSU rRNA". It matches the Rfam family "Bacterial small subunit ribosomal RNA", at positions 29 to 695 of the family's 1533-position model. The record is from RNAcentral.